AUCUGAGCUUUGGCUCAACUAUAUAUAAAUAAAAGAGUUCUGGAACUAAAAUUUUUGUUUGAUCAUUUAUCGCGCUACACCGCACAACGUAAGAGCUAUCGGACUUUACCAUUAUUACAUACCGUUAUCACAUUUGUCAGAUUAACACAUCGGCUACAUUUGCACCGAAUUGGGUUCAAGGUGUUUUCUUUAUACGAAGACUACUUUUUGAAUUGAAGCACCCAACUCAGACAUUUUAAGGCAUUCUAUUUGAAUAAGAUUAACACAUCGACUACUUUUGCACCGAAUUGGGUUCAAGGUGUUUUCUUUAUACGGAGACUUCUUUUUGAAUUAAAGCACCUAAGUCAGACAU
This is a non-coding RNA of Ciona intestinalis (vase tunicate), 352 nucleotides long. The record is from RefSeq and is a predicted model, not a curated record. NCBI's taxonomy places the organism in Eukaryota, Metazoa, Chordata, Ascidiacea, Phlebobranchia, Cionidae.